AACAGUGACUAAGCCCAAAAGGUUAAGAGAGUUAAACGUGUUAGGACGGGAGUAGUCCUAAGAUGGGUGACCCCCUGAGAAGUUGGGCGUCACAGUUU
Molecule: ribosomal RNA, 98 nt
Filed under: Ananas comosus (pineapple)
Lineage: Eukaryota; Viridiplantae; Streptophyta; Magnoliopsida; Poales; Bromeliaceae
Source: RNAcentral